GAAUAACCGAAGGAGAACUUCUCUGGCUCAUGCCACCCUUGAGUUGCCUCCUACGAUUUACCUCUCUGUCGUUUCGCUUUCUAGACAAGCGCAUAUCUGAAAGAACCAAAACGAACUACGCCCUCUGCCGAUCAGUAGCCUCCAUGGAUAGCGGCGGGGGGGGGAGGCGGAGUAAGCCCGCCCUUUCCCCGGGGGUUUUUUGGAAAAACAAAAAAA
RNAcentral lists this unclassified non-coding RNA (216 nucleotides) under Hevea brasiliensis (rubber tree). Lineage: Eukaryota; Viridiplantae; Streptophyta; Magnoliopsida; Malpighiales; Euphorbiaceae. The record is from RNAcentral.